AUGAGCAGCUGGGCCUUGGGAGCACAAAUGGGCCUUAAUGAGCCUGCCCAGCCUCCCCUGGGCCCAGUUCAGCUCAGCCAGGGGCUUUGGUGCUGUCCGUGUGCCCCAUCUCAGUUAAGUGCUGGCCAGGUCUUCUCAGAGACGUUCUACAGGCUCCUUGUUGUCAGUCUCAGGCUUUACCUGCCCUUUGUUUUACCUGUGGAAAGCAGAGUGGUUCUGGCUGGGCUCUCACCAGUGCGGUGUGCAACAGCACCUGUGAGGAACAACCUGGGCUCAGCUGGGCACACUUAUCCAAAUGAAAAAAAGAUUCAGUUUCUUCUGAGCAUCAAGCAGACUGCCCUUGUCUUCACACCCGUGGGGAGCAUCAGCUGCAGAGGGGAGACAAAGCCUGCCUGUGCCCAGGACAUGGGCAUUGAACAGGAGUGGUUCCUGCCCCUUGUGGAAUUUGAGUGGAAACUCAGGCAUGGGUGUCCUGGGGUGGCUUUAUGACACUGGUAUCCCCAGUCGUCUGGUUUAUGUUAUAUAUUAAGUUCUGCACCUUUAAGACUUGCUCUGAGGGUGAGAAUGGGGGGAAGAAGAAGCAUGCAGUUUGUGUUAAGGAAAAACAUCACUCCCACACAUCUCGCUCCUGGACUGUGGUGUCUGCAGCACGGACAGACAGCGGGACAGAGCUUCUCUCUGGCUUUUAGUUAGUUUUAGCUAGCUGAGGCAGAGGAGUUCUCUGGACCUUUGUUUUUUUUCCUUUUCUUUCUGUGCAAGCCUGCUCUGGACUGAACACCCAGCCAAACCCCGGGAGCUCAGGCCUGUGGCCCACCGGGGCCUGGGCCUCGGCACUUUCCAGCGCCAGAGGGACUGAUAAGAACCUGAGCGAGCUGAGCUACACCACAUGAAAAGGACUUUUUCUUCCUAGAUUUGCCAUCCCAUCAAACAGCAAGAGGUUUUAUUAUUUAAUAUUAUUCAAUUUCUGUUAAAUAAACAGCUUUUUCCACUUCUCUCCA
Molecule: long non-coding RNA, 998 nt
Filed under: Cyanistes caeruleus (blue tit)
Lineage: Eukaryota; Metazoa; Chordata; Aves; Passeriformes; Paridae
Description: lncRNA (ENSCCEG00000004814.1)
Source: RNAcentral